GAUAUACUCUCUCCGUUCCAAAAAAUUUGUCUUAGGUUUGUCUAGAAAUGAAUGUAUCUAAAUACUAAAAUAUGAUUAAAUACAUUCAUAUCUAGACAAAUUUAAGACAAGAAUUUUGAACGGAGAGAAUAGGAA
Hordeum vulgare subsp. vulgare (domesticated barley) is the source of this 135-nucleotide non-coding RNA. Lineage: Eukaryota; Viridiplantae; Streptophyta; Magnoliopsida; Poales; Poaceae. The record is from Rfam.